Molecule: long non-coding RNA, 690 nt
Organism: Micropterus dolomieu (smallmouth bass)
Lineage: Eukaryota; Metazoa; Chordata; Actinopteri; Centrarchiformes; Centrarchidae
Exons: 3
Source: RefSeq, a predicted model, not a curated record
UUCAGCUGCAGGCUUACCAAAACACUGAAAGAGUGUAGUUUGAGUUUGCUCGCGUUUUUCAUCUCCUUCAGUGAUUCACAUUAGUUAAUUUCAAACUUGCGCCGAGUGAACGGGGAUCCUACGGUCAUGCAUCAAUAUCAGAAGAUCUUAAAAGAAUCAAGAAACGUUUGACGUUCAGCUUCCCCUCCUGCGCAGGGGAAAGAAGGCAAUCAGCUGCUUAAAACCACAUCAUUCGUCGGACCAACAUAAGUCAUACUAACGUCCAACGAGCACACGGAGAAUCUCACUGACCGACAGGUGGAGAAUAAGGAGAGCACAAAGGGGAUUCACGUACGAACGGCCCGGCGACCCUCUGUACCCCGUGUCGUCUCCCACCUUCCUCCAGACGCACCAGCUUUUUAUCUUCACCCAAGAAGAAAUGUUGUCUGCGCUGUUCACGGUGUUUGUGUAAACAUCUGUUUCCUACUGAAGCUCGGAGGCCUAUGGCAGCUCGUCCAGGCUGAUCAGAGGAAACCAGAUGGCAGCUCUGCUGUUUCACUGCGUUUAAUCUUAGUUAUGUGAAGGUUAAACAUUCACUGACCUUAAAGCUCUCUCAGCUGAACGUGCCUGACUCAACCUGCAGGUGGAUCACUGAACAUCUCUCUGAUUCCAGGACCAUCAGCACCGGAUCCCCUCAAGGCUGCGUUCUUU